CAGAACACUUUUCCAGGGAGCUCAGGAGGCUGAGACAGAAAAGCCUCAGCUUCCAGUGUCAACAGCCUUUUCCCCUCCUUCCAGCCAAAGACAGCAGCAUUCCCAAGCGCAAGAGAAAGCGGGUCUCAGAAGGAAAUUCCGUGUCCUCUUCCUCCUCGUCUUCCUCUUCCUCGUCCUCUAACCCGGAUUCAGUGGCAUCGGCCAACCAGAUCUCGCUCGUGCAAUGGCCAAUGUACAUGGUGGACUAUGCCGGCCUGAACGUGCAGCUCCCGGGACCUCUUAAUUACUAGACCUCAGUACUGAAUCAGGACCUCACUCAGAAAGACUAAAGGAAAUGUAAUUUAUGUACAAAAUGUAUAUUCGGAUAUGUAUCGAUGCCUUUUAGUUUUUCCAAUGAUUUUUACACUAUAUUCCUGCCACCAAGGCCUUUUUAAAUAAGU
This 440-nucleotide small RNA is filed under the name Pongo abelii (Sumatran orangutan). RNAcentral's name for it is "retained intron". Lineage: Eukaryota; Metazoa; Chordata; Mammalia; Primates; Hominidae. The record is from RNAcentral.